This 1566-nucleotide ribosomal RNA is filed under the name Triticum aestivum (bread wheat). Its description in RNAcentral is "partial small subunit ribosomal RNA". The record is from RNAcentral. Lineage: Eukaryota; Viridiplantae; Streptophyta; Magnoliopsida; Poales; Poaceae.
AUGACCAUGGGCAUGCACGCCACCGCUUGGACGGUCACGGUGGCGCUCGCCGCGGCCGUGCUGGCCUCGUGCCUGUUCAACGCGCUGGUGCGCCUGGUGUGGAGGCCGCGCGCCAUCGCCAGGAGGCUGGCGCGGCAGGGCGUGCGCGGGCCGUGUUACAGGUUUUUCGUCGGCAACCUCGGCGACAUCCGGCGGCUCCGCGCGGCCGGCGCCGGCCUCGUGCUCGACGUCUCCUCCCACGACUUCAUCCCCAUCUCCCAGCCCCAGUUCCGCCAAUGGAUCCCCCUCUACGGCCGCGUGUUCCUGUACUGGUUCGGGUCGACGCCCAACAUCUGCGUGGCCGACCUGGGCGUGGCGAAGCAGCUGCUGUCGGACCGCACGGGGCUGUUCCCCAAGAACCGGAUGAACCCCAUCGUCCGGCUGGUGGGCAAGGGCCUCGUCAUGACCGACGGCGACGUCUGGCACCGCCACAAGAAGGUCCUGCACCCGGCCUUCAACGUGGACAAGCUCAAGGUGAUGACGUCGACAAUGGUGGACUGCGUGCUGUCGAUGGCGUCCCGGUGGGAGGCGCAGCUGGCUACUCAGGGCAAGAACGAUUGCCAGGAGAUCGAGCUGACUAGCCAGUUCGAGGAACUGACUGCGGAUGUGAUCUCGCGCACCGCGUUCGGGAGCAGCUACAGAGAGGGCAGGAAGAUCUUCCUGGCGCUGAACGAGAUCCAGUUCAUCGCCUUCUCGACCCUCUGGACCGACUACAUUCCAGGAUUCAGGUUCGUGCCAACAAAGAAGAACAUGAGGCUGUGGAAGCUGAACAAGACGAUGAGAAGCACGCUGGUGCAGAUCAUCGAGAACAGGCUCGCCGCCAAGGACACGGACGGCUACGGGAGCGACCUGCUGGGGCUGAUGCUGGAGGCGUGCGCGCCGGAGCACGGGCAGGCGCCGGUGCUGAGCAUGGACGAGAUGAUCGACGAGUGCAAGACCUUCUUCUUCGCCGGGCAGGAGACGAGCCUGCACAUGCUCAACUGGACCAUGUUCCUGCUGGGCACGCACCCGGAGUGGCAGCAGAGGCUCAGGGAGGAGGUGCUGCGGGAGUGCGGCGGGGUCCCCACCUACGACACGCUCAGCAGGCUGAGGCUGGUGAACCUGUUCCUGCUGGAGACGCUGCGGCUGUACAGCCCGGUCCCGCUCAUCCGGAGGAGGACGAGGUCGGAGGUGGAGCUCGGCGGCGUCACGGUGCCGAGGGACGCGCUCCUGACCAUCCCCAUCGCGACGAUGCACCGGGACAGGGAGGUGUGGGGCGAGGACGCCGACGAGUUCAACCCGAUGAGGUUCGACGGCGGCGCCGCCCGGGCCGCGAGGCACGCCAACGCGCUCUUGUCCUUCUCCAUGGGUCCGAGGACGUGCAUCGGGCAGAACUUCGCCAUGGUCCAGGCCAAGGCCGAGGUCGCCGUCAUCCUCCGUAGGUUCGCGCUGUCGCUCUCCCCGAGCUACGUGCACGCGCCCACCGACGUGAUCACGCUGCGGCCAAAGUACGGGCUACCGAUGAUCAUCACAAGACUCGACGCCUGA